This 5548-nucleotide long non-coding RNA is filed under the name Capsicum annuum. Its description in RNAcentral is "long non-coding RNA (CANN_LNC018257)". Lineage: Eukaryota; Viridiplantae; Streptophyta; Magnoliopsida; Solanales; Solanaceae. The record is from RNAcentral.
UGAGAUGUAGAUCCAUAACCUCUCACGAUCAUUAUAAAUAGGUGCAUAUGGAUCAAAGUGACAUGCAAAGCGGCCAUAAUUCUUUCCCGUGAAAUUUAUGGUCCAAUACAAAAAUGUGCCGAGACCGAGGGCCGUGACAAGUAGGAGUAUUCGUACUAGUGGAUUGUUCGAGUAUUUGUAGAACCAUGGUAGUUCGGAUUUAAUCUUUGGCACGUGAGUUUGAUCACCAUCAAGAGAAUUGGUGUGUGAGUGGUGACGACUAUGACUAUAUUUAAGUGAAAAGUAUGGCACUAGAAGUGCAGAGUGAAGGAUAAAACCUACAGUGUCAUCUACCCACGGGUAAUCACUAAAGGCAUGGUGUCCACAUUCAUGGGAAACCAUCCAUAUUCCAGUAAAAGCACAACCUUGAACAAUCCAGUAAGCAACCCAUGCUAGGUAGCAAUAUGGGGAUGGAAGGAGGUGAAAGUAAGUGGAGGCGAUGUAGUAGAAGACGGAAACUAGUGAUAGAUCACGAACGACAUAGUAGAAUGAGCGGAUGAGAGAUCGUUUAAAGCAGUGGGGAGGGAUAGCCUUCUUGAUAUCACCAAUUGUAAAUGGGGGCUUUGAAGUUGGCAUUCUUUGGAGAGGAUUUUGCUUUAGUUCUGUUUUAGCUGUUGGAUUAGACAUAUUGCCACCACCUCCCAUUCUUGAUCCUGAAUCCACAACAAUUAAAUACAUCAAAAAAUCACCAAAUCAAAUGCCAAAGUUGGCAACUAAAAGAAGAAUGAGCAUAUAAAAAAAAAAUAGAGAUGAUAAUUAAAGAUAGAAUUUUGGUGAGGAAAAACUACCUCACAAUUCAAAACCACCUUAUAGCCUUAUCUAUUUUUGGAUAUGUCUCUCCCACUUCCUCUCUUAUUUAUAGGAAUAGAGGAAGAGAAGGUAGUUUUUAUACAAUUAUUUUUUUAUAAAAAAAUUGAGGGUAGGGAAUGAAAAAUGUGGGAGGAGAUUACGAGCAUGGAAUCAAAUCCUCACCAACAAGGUGACUAGUUGGACCACUCUACUUUUUUUCUUUUGCGGGCUAUGACCAUUUGAUAUUCGGAACUUGUUGGUCUGACUAGUCAAGGUUUGCUUACCGUUGGGCUAAUUUAAUGGCGAAGUGCUUUCUAUGAUCUAUUUAACAGGGAAGUGCUCCCUAACAUAACCCGAGACCUCUAACUAAGGUUGAAGGAUUACAGGUGGUUUCAUUUGCCAACUUUGUCCUGAAUGGCUGCUGACUAGAUCUGAAAAGAAUUAAUAUCCUACAUAAUGUGCUCUAGAUUCCAGCUUUUAUAUUAUUUAAACUUUGUCCAAGUUUGAAUAUUAAUAAUCACAUUCAGUAGUAAGGCGGCUUAUUGAAGAAAGAAAAUUAACAGAACGUAAUUUAUGAAUCAAUCACAUUCAAUAGUAAGGUGGCUUAGUUUUGUCAUUUUAGUAGGUCUGAUUUAUGUUCCCUCUAAUUGUAAAUGGGGGCUUUGAAGUUGGCAUUCUUUGGAGAGGAUUUUUCUUUAGUUCCGUUUUAGCUGUUGGAUUAGACAUAUUGCCACCACCUCCCAUUCUUGAUCCUGAAUCCACAACAAUUAAAUACAUCAAAAAAUCACCAAAUCAAAAGCCAAAGUUGGCAACUAAAAGAAGAAUGAGCAUAUAAAAAAAAUAGAGAUGAUAAUUAAAGAUAGAAUUUUGGUGAGGAAAAACCACCUCACAAUUCAAAACCACCUUAUAGCCUUAUCUAUGGUUGGAUAUGUCUCUCUCCCACUUCCUCUCUUAUUUAUAGGAAUAGAGGAAGAGAAGGUAGUUUUUAUAAUUAUUUUUCUUAAAAAAAAAAGAUAGAGAGUAGGGAAGGAGAAAUGUGGGAGGAGAUUACAAGCAUGGAAUCAAAACCUCACCAACAAGGGGAAUGGUUGGACCACUCUACUUUUUUUCUUUUGCGGGCUAUAACCAUUUGAUAUUUGGAACUUGUUGGUCUGACUAGUCAAGGUAUGUUUAGCGUUGGGCUAAUUUAAGGGCGAAGUGCUUUCUAUGAUCUAUUUAACAGGGAAGUGCUCCCUAACAUAAUCCGAGACCUCUGACUGAGGUUGAAGGUCUACAGGUGAUUUUGUUUGGCCAACUUUGUCCUGAAUGGCUGCUGACUUGAAUCUGAAAAAAAAUAAUAUCCUACAUAAUGUGCUCUGGGUUCCAGCUUUUAUAUUAUUUAAACUUUGUCCAAGUUUGAAUGUAAAUAAUCACAAAUCAGUAGUAAGGCGGCUUAUUCUAGAAAAAAAAUUAACAGAAGAUAAUUUAUGAAUCAUCACAUUCAAUAGUAAGGCGGCUUAGUUUUGUCAUUUUAGUAGUACUGAUUUAUGUUUCCUCUAAUGCUAUUUAUUGAAAAGAGGUCAUGAUUAAAUUGUCACGAUCCAAGCAGGGGCCUGGCAGCGACGGAUAUCUCGAAUCAUCAUGGCCGACUAGAGCCGGAGCCCUGGCCGCGACGGAUAUCUCAAACCAUCAAGGCCGACCCGAGCCGGGGUCCUGGCCGCGACGGACAUCUCAUACCAUCAAGGCCAACCGAAGCCGGCCGGGGCCCUGGCCACGACGGGCAUCUCAAACCAACAAGGUCGUUGAAAAGAGGUCGCGACGGGCAUCCCGACCAACCGAAGCCGGCUGGGGCCCUGGUCACGACGGGCAUCUCAAACCAUCAAGGUCGUUGAAAAGAGGCCGCGACGGGCAUCCCGAACCCUCAAGGUCAUUGAAAAGAGGUCAUGAUUAAAUUGGCACGACCCGAGCCGGAGCCCUGAUUAACUCCCCAACCCACUAGUGAUAUUGUCCGCUCUGAACCCAUACCCGCAAAGCUUUAAAACGUGUUACUAGGGAGUAAGACUUGCUUACUUAUAUACCCAACAUCCCUCCUGUAUUUUGCCGACGUGGGACUCCUUCUCUUAAGUUGGGGUGUCACAUAAAUACUUCUAUAAUUAGUGUAUAUAUAUAUAUAUAUAUAUAUAUAUAUAUAUCAUACUACAUCACACUACAGGAAAUUAAUGACGUAUAUAUACAGGGGCGACAUUGGGAUUUGAAGUUUAUACUCGUCUUAGUUAUCGAGUUUACAAUUAAAUAUUUGUAUAUGUUUAACAGACUUUCUUAAAAAUAUAUAACGUCUGAGAAAAAUUUAUUAGGUUCGUCCAAACCCGUAAGUAAUACACUACCUCCACCCCCUAUUUCUGUGGUGACUGGCAACCCUUCCAACCAUAUUCCUGUCCCAUUGAUAUUGAUUCAAAGCAUAUAAUUCUCCGAACUAUUUGUGUUGUAAUAAGAAGCUCAUACAUUCUAAAACUUUCUUGCCAACCUCAAGAUCAUGAGUUCCCUCAAACUGACUUUUUUGGAACUCCCCGCUGUUUUGCUUUUAAAUGGUUUGAGGAAUAUUCUGAUUGAUUGGAAUAUAGUAUACUUAUUGUUUGCUUUGUUAUUUAUCUUAAGGCCAAAGCAUUCAUCAACAUGGUGGAAAUGCAUUUUUGACUAAGGGAUUUAAAAAUUGGUACAGAAAGGAUAGCUUUGCAACACAUAUUGGUCCUCCGAAUAGAGUUCAUAAUCAAUCAAAAAGAAAGUGUGAAGAUCUUAUGCGGGAAGAACAAUCUAUUGAGGUUGUAUUUUACAAGUUGAACGAUAAAAGUAAGCAUGAAUACCGGGUUUAAUUAAAUGCUUCAAUUGAUGUGGUAUAAUUUCUUGUAAAUUAAGGUUUACCACUAUGAGGUCAUGAUAAAAGUGAAUUGUCAUUAAACAAAGGUAAUUUUCUUGAACCUUUCUUGACUUGCGGAUAAUGUGAUGAAAUUAAACCUUAUGUGUUAGAAAAAGCUUCAAAAAAUAAUAAAAUAAUUUCUCAUGAUAUUCAAAAAGAUAUUGUGACUGCAUAUAAGAUUGAAACAAUCAAGGCUAUAGCAACGGAUUUAGAUGGUGACUACUUUCCUUUGUUGGUUGAUGAAUCAAAAAACGUAUCAUGCAACGAGCAAAAGACUAUUUGUUCACGAUAUGUUGAUAAAAAGGGAUUUGUGAUGGAAGCAUUCAUUGGACUUGUUCAUGUUAAACAGUUAAAGAUACUAGUGUAUCUCUAAAGAAAACAAUUAUGGAUGUACUCUUAUGUACGAGGUCAAUGUUAUGGAGGGGCAAAAAAUAUAUAAGGUGAGUUAGGUGGUCUUAAAAUAUUAAUUAGACAAGAAAAUAAAUCAGCUCACUCAGAUCAUUAUUUUCCUCAUCAACUUCAAUAGACUCUUGUUGCACUUUGUAAAAUAUGUGUUCAAGUAGGAGAACUUAUAUUAUUGGUUUCAAAGCUUCUUUUAAAUGAGUGGAAUAAUUUGGAGAAUCUCAACUCCAAGAGGCAUUACAUAUGGGUAAACUAAGAAUAGGUGAAACCACUAAUUACCAGGUGAAAUUGUCUGAAUUCCAACAGGUGAAACCACUAAUUAACUCAUUAGUUUAUGGAGCAAAUGCUACGUUUUUUGUUGAAAUAUCUAUAUAGGUUUGUUGAGUGAACCUAACAUAUACUUGGGAGAGGGAAAUGAAAACGCCACCGCCAUGAAAUAUGAACUAACAAUAAUAAGUUGCCAAAGCACUACUCAUCAAAAUCAAAUUGGUUGGACAAGGAACAUAUGUACAAACUUGGAAAACAAAAUGGCAUGGAACAUCAAGGAGAUGGAAUGUGAACCAUCUAAAAUGAUAUAUUAUGGAGUGAUAGGAAAUUACAAUCUAAACAAACAUUAUUUAAAAUACUUAAAACAACUAAGGUUGAACAUUUAACUUAUUCAACUAACUAGAGAUUUUUUUGGUAUUCAUCUUUUAGAGCUUGUUUUUAAACCAAAAAACACCAUUAUCGUGAGAUCCUUCAUCUUUCUCUACAUAUAUGCACUCCCUUAACUCCCUCCACAAUGCUUUAUAAAUAGGAGUACCAUCAAAUUGGUAGUAUUCUCCUAGUAAUGGCUUGACAGCUUUGGUUGCCUCCACCGCGUGGUAAUGUGGUAUAGUUGAGAAUAGAUGAUGCAACACAUGAGUAUCUGCGAAAUUGUGUAAGAUCAUAUUUAGCAUGCCAUAGUCUCUGUCUACGGUAGCUAGAGCUCCUCUUAACCAAUCCCACUCAGAUGAAUCGUAAUGUGGCACUGAAAGGUGAUUGUGGUUCAAAAAAGUCACCAUAACAAAGAAUACAUUAUGAAAUAGGAGUGGCAUCCCAUAAAUACAUACAAGCCAAGCUAUUCCUUGUGCCAUAGCAAUGCAAUACAACACAUAAGUAGUUGCGAUCAAACCUGCAUCUGAAAUGUAGAUCCAAAACCUCUCACGAUCAUUAUAUAUAGGUGCAUAAGGAUCAAAGUGACAUGCAAAGCGGCCAUAAUUCUUUCCCGUGAAAUUUAUGGUCCAAUACAAAAAUGUGCCGAGAGUGAGGGCAGUGACAAGUAGGAGCAUUCGUACUAGUGGAUUGUUCGAGUAUUUGUAGAACCAUUGUAGCUCUGCUUUAAUCUUUGGCACGUAAAUUUGAUCACCGUCAAGGGAAUUAUUGUGUGCAUGGUGACGACCGUGA